CAACUUGGUGUGAGCGGCGCAACGAGGCCGGGCGAUUUUCCUUGGAGGCGAGUUUUUCCUUCUUACUCGGUAGUCUAGGUUGCUUUUGUGGUACGGUGUGGAUUUUUUUUAUGUUUUACCCUUCAUCUGCUCUAUAAGAGGCCCUCCUCAUCACCAUGUAUCCGUUUUCCUAUGUUGCUUUUUUUUGAAAUGGAACACAAUGAUUCCAUACUUCACACAGGUCCAACCAUAGAGCUGGAUUUUUUUAUGUUGCUUUAUAUAUAAAGCGGGACGGAAUCCUUUUUAAAUAUAGGAUUUGAGACACAUGUCAUCUCGCUUUAUGUGAUUUUUCUAUUUUUAAGAUAGUCCUAUCGGAACAUAUAAAGCCCGCUAGAGUACCCGCCAUUCUAGGGGCAUUCGCGGCGCGCAUGCGUUCUGGCCGCACGAUCUGCCUCGCUGGCCCGAUUUUACAGUGCUGUCAAAAAUCCUGCGGUUAGUUUCUUUAAACAUUGAUCUUUCAUGCUGCAGCGGAUGACGUGUGGGGCUCCUUUCCUCGUGGGCCUGUUUUGCAGUUACAUUGAGAAGAAACCUCAGGGUUCUGUCCGUUCUAUGCGCCGUGGAAUCGGGUGAAAACCUAGCUGCCAAUCCCCUCACAUCCUCGAUCCCCCAGACCCCAUGCCUCGUCUCUCCUCUCCUCCUCACGACCACCGCCGCCGCCGCGCCCCUUCUCCUCCUCCUCCUCUGCCCAGCGCUGCCUCUCCUCCUCUCCUACUACCGGAUCCUGCCGCGUGCCGACUUCUCCUCAAAGAUAAGGGUCACAUCCGCAGGAGAAGAGGGGCGGCGCGGCAAAAUUGAGGAGUAGCGUCGCAGCUGGGUCUUGACGGUGGAGGUUGAGGAGCAGGGGAGGCCGGUGGUGGGGCGAAGGAGUAGCGUGGCCGGUGACCGGGGCAAGAAGUAGCGGGACAUCGCUCUCAUCGCACUGGGGUGGAGCUGCAGGGGAGAAGGGGUGGUCAGCCCUUGUUCAUCAUGGCCGCCAUUGGCUUGCAGCUCGUGUGAGCAUCCACAGUGACGAGUUCUUGUGCUGAUUACCAGAGGCAACAUCACAGUCGUGGAGUACAUGUACAUCAACGCCGACAGUGCCGGCAGCAACGACACGAGUCUCCAGAUGAAGCUUUUGUGGCCAGCAAUGAAAACUGCUUAAAGAUGAGCCCGCCCAGCCACCUGUCAUCCACGACCCUACUCCUCAAGCCAUUCUUGUCUCUACAGGCAGGUGAGCUCUUUCCUCCUCCCCCCUCUCUCUUUUCAAUUUAUGCUGGUAGAUGUGUUUGCUGUGGGUUCUGCUGCUACCAGGCUUGGCUACUGCUUGGCCUAACUCUACUUGUGCUGCUGCUAUGUGCUACUAUAUGUUGUUGGUUGCCUCCUUGGUUAUUUGUGAAUCUGAAAACACUUUGUGAGAAGCACGGAUUGAAGAGAAGGCUAUGAGCCAAUGAGAAGAGCUUCAUUUUCAUUUUUUUAGAAUUGAUGAAGGACGUGUCAUAUGUUCAGUUGCUAACAUUCUCUCUAUGGUGUAUGCACUUGUUGUUCAUUGCAUUAGAGGGAGAGGAAAACUAUUUGUGAGAAGCAAGGAUUGAAGAGAAGGCUAUGAGCCAAGGGAGAGGACAACAAGAGUAAGAAAGUCUUGCGGCGUGAAGGCAGUAGCACGCAGCGCCAAGUCAAGCACAUUGGCCUCGAUGGCAAGAGACCAGUACCAUCAGGUUCGCUUGACUGCUUGCUAGCCCGUCAUUGAACAAUACCCUUAAUAAAGCUACAUGGUGGACGCUAAUUGUCAUAUUUUGACCGACAAAUCUGUUUGAAUAGAUUAUACAAGAUUGAUGUGAUUAUCAGAUGAUUGCAGUCUACCCAAGAGUACACGAGAAAGAAGUGCUACUGCUACAUUACUGCUGCUUGCCAAGGGAAAAGAGAGUUCCAUUGUAAAAUGAGAUGCCAGGUAUUGAGGGCUAGACUGUACAUGGCAAAGAUUAAUUUGUUAUGGUGAAGCCAAAGCUUUAGUGUUUGAUUCAUUGGGUUUCAUCUUUGUUAACUUAUUAUUAAGCAUAUCUACUAUGUACUUUGUCCCACAUAAAUGAUUGAGAAAAACUCUGCUUUUUAUGACAUCAUGACUCACUGUCAUGUCUAAAUAUUUGAAUCUUAUAUUGAUGUUUCGACCGUGGAUGCCAAAACAUCACAGUUUGCCUGAUAGAGUGAAUCCAUUAUAAAAUAAAGCUCCUUCCAUCAAUUAGAUAGCUUUUAUGAAUUUGAUUUUUCUAUUUUGAAGAUACAUAUUGGUUAUUUGGAUGCUUUCGUUUAGAGGGCAUGACAGCUUGGCCAGAACCAGCCAAUGUCAGAGAACUCCGAGGGUUGCAGGGGUUAUUACAGGAGGUUUGUACCGGCGCUGAAGUAUGUAACUGAUGCCAUACUCCCAGGAAAAGCUCGAACGACCUUCAACAAAAGGGUACCUGUACC
This is a long non-coding RNA of Aegilops tauschii subsp. strangulata, 2481 nucleotides long. RefSeq lists it as uncharacterized. The record is from RefSeq and is a predicted model, not a curated record. Lineage: Eukaryota; Viridiplantae; Streptophyta; Magnoliopsida; Poales; Poaceae.